This 202-nucleotide unclassified non-coding RNA is filed under the name Leishmania donovani. Its description in RNAcentral is "gene:unknown". Lineage: Eukaryota; Euglenozoa; Kinetoplastea; Trypanosomatida; Trypanosomatidae. The record is from RNAcentral.
UAUCACAAGCUCACUUCUUCCCCGAUGGCCAACAGACAGACACACACGCACACACAGACACGCAGAGAGACACACACGUAAGCGCAAGAGGAAAACGACAGCACCUCCAACUCCAUGAGAGCGUCGCCAUGACGUCGCUGAUGUCGGGGAUGUGCCGGCAACAGCAAAGAAGCGCAAAAAAAAAAAACAUCGAAAGGAUCCU